AGUGGCGGACGGGUGAGUAACGCGUGAGAAUCUACCCUCAGGUCGGGGAUAACUCCUGGAAACGGGAGCUAAUACCGGAUGUGCCGAAAGGUGAAAGGUUUACUGCCUGGGGAGGAGCUCGCGUCUGAUUAGCUAGUUGGUGAGUUAAAAGCUUACCAAGGCGACGAUCAGUAGCUGGUCUGAGAGGAUGAGCAGCCACACUGGGACUGAGACACGGCCCAGACUCCUACGGGAGGCAGCAGUGGGGAAUUUUCCGCAAUGGGCGAAAGCCUGACGGAGCAAGACCGCGUGGGGGAGGAAGGCCUUUGGGUUGUAAACCCCUUUUGUCAGGGAAGAAGACAGUGACGGUACCUGACGAAUCAGCCUCGGCUAACUCCGUGCCAGCAGCCGCGGUAAUACGGAGGAGGCAAGCGUUAUCCGGAAUAAUUGGGCGUAAAGCGUCCGUAGGUGGCCCGGCAAGUCGGUUGUCAAAGACCUCAGCUCAACUGAGGAAAGGCAAGGGAAACUGCAAGGCUAGAGUGCGGUAGGGGUAGAGGGAAUUCCCAGUGUA
Molecule: ribosomal RNA, 550 nt
Filed under: Phormidium aerugineo-caeruleum ISB 65
Lineage: Bacteria; Bacillati; Cyanobacteriota; Cyanophyceae; Oscillatoriales; Oscillatoriaceae
Description: bacterial SSU rRNA
Rfam family: Bacterial small subunit ribosomal RNA
Source: RNAcentral